CUCAACAGAACUAACAUUUCCAAGGGAGAGAACAUGCCCCAGGUGGCUCUUAUCAUCAGGAAUCUCUGGAAACCCCACGUUAAUCCCAAGUGCUUCUGGGAAACUAGGGGGCUUUUCUCCCCUCCAAAAUGCUUCUCCCUGCCAUAGGACAAGGCUUGUGACCAGCUUUGCUGCCAAACAGAUGGGAAAGCAAGGAAAUAACCCUCUCAGGCAGAUUCUUUACAAGCUGAGCCACAAGGGAAGCGAUGAGAACUGGAAACAUUGAAAGAGUAGGCAAGAGAGAUCAACUUCCUCCAAACAGCCCUUGAAUCCAAAACUAGAAGGGCUUCCCGAGCGCACGGGCACUAAACACAGAGUUCAGAGUCCAUUGGAAAGGUGGCCGAGCAUGAUCAGCAUGAACAGGCCUAAGAUGGAGUCCAGGCCCUGUGAAUUCCUUCUUCACAGUGAAGAAAGAGCCUUAGGGACCAAGUGGCUGGCACCUAGAAUGAUGGUAACGAUGGGCUGUGAGAACUGUGAAAUGGAGAUGGCCACUUCUGAGUGCCCUCGAAUACUUACAAAAAGAAAAACAACCACCUCAAGCCUGUAAAAUCUCAGCCCAAGUAAUGGUGAGAAAGCCAAAGAGUUUAUACUGGCCUUAAAAGAAUCUAUUCUUUCUAGUAUCUACAGGGCUCACUGAAAAUCAAACACAAAAUUUAAAUAUGCCAUUUACGUAAUUACAACAAAAGUUUAAUUCACAACCUUAUCAAGUUUCUAAUAUGAAAGUUAGGAGGCUGAUUGUGAAGCACUGGGAACUUGAGACUUGGAAUGAGGACACCCGUAGGCUCAGAGGAAGUUGAGAAUCUUGAGCUUGGAGUCAUUCUGAACCAUCUUUUGGCAGAAGCACCUCUCCCCACUUAUUUUACCCGAAUAUGCUAUAAUAACCUUGCCUUCACUGGCAAAGGAAGCCUAUUCUCAAAAUUCGUGCCAAGUACCUCUUACUGCUCUAAACAUAUUAGAUUUCAGCAUACUGUAGGGGUAUAUAGUGCAUUCUCUUCUGACUCAGAAAAAAAUGGUGAACUCUGCAAAAGACUUACAAGAUUUAAAAAAUUUGUAUUGGCAUAAAUGUGGAGAAUAUGUGUAGAAAUUAAUCCUAAGGAUGCUAGACCAAGGAGAAUAGAAAAUAAUAUUGGAUUGAUAAAUUUUUGUGUAGGUGCACUUAACAGAUAUUCUAGAUUUAAUGUUAGUGCUAUUAAUUUAUUGUUACUUAAAUUGAAGUUAAUGUGUUCUAGAUUUAACGUUAAUGCUGAUUUGUAUAGCUGGAGGUGACCUUACUAGUAUACUUGUUUGGUUGAUUGGUACGUGGCUUGUAUUCAAUGAGGUUGAGACACCAGAAGUUCUCUGGUAUAAUGUACAAGAGUUCAAAGCCUUUGAGAGAGAGAGCUAUUGGAGUGGACUUUUUAUGACUGAUCUUUGUACCUGUUUUCCACCCCUUGAUCCCUUCUCCAAGGAUUGAGAAGUACCCUAGUGCAGAGAGCAUCACUACCCUUGAUAAGCUUGCCGAUGGCUGUCUUCUCUAGGCCAGGUAUGAUAUCAAGAGAGAUCGCCAAUGAGGUGGGUCCCCUUAUUUUAGUGGUGGUGAUGUGGGAAUUUCAACCUAGUAGAAGCCAAGAGAAAGCCUUUAGUAGCCAGAGACAAGAUGACUGCAUUUAUUAUAAUGGGUAUUUUGACUUUCCGUAA
Bubalus bubalis (water buffalo) is the source of this 1716-nucleotide long non-coding RNA. RefSeq lists it as uncharacterized. The transcript has 3 exons. NCBI's taxonomy places the organism in Eukaryota, Metazoa, Chordata, Mammalia, Artiodactyla, Bovidae. The record is from RefSeq and is a predicted model, not a curated record.